GAUGAACGCUGGCGGCGUGCCUAAUACAUGCAAGUCGAGCGAACAGACGAGGAACUUGCUCCUCUGACGUUAGCGGCGGAAGGGUGAGUAACACGUGGAUAACCUACCUAUAAGACUGGGAUAAAUUCGGGAAACCGGAGCUAAUACCGGAUAAUAUAUUGAACCGCAUGGUUCAAUAGUGAAAGACGGUUUUGCUGUCACUUAUAGAUGGAUCCGCGCCGCAUUAGCUAGUUGGUAAGGUAACGGCUUACCAAGGCAACGAUGCGUAGCCGACCUGAGAGGGUGAUCGGCCACACUGGAACUGAGACACGGUCCAGACUCCUACGGGAGGCAGCAGUAGGGAAUCUUCCGCAAUGGGCGAAAGCCUGACGGAGCAACGCCGCGUGAGUGAUGAAGGUCUUCGGAUCGUAAAACUCUGUUAUUAGGGAAGAACAAAUGUGUAAGUAACUAUGCACGUCUUGACGGUACCUAAUCAGAAAGCCACGGCUAACUACGUG
This 497-nucleotide ribosomal RNA is filed under the name uncultured bacterium. RNAcentral's name for it is "partial 16S ribosomal RNA". It matches the Rfam family "Bacterial small subunit ribosomal RNA", at positions 28 to 507 of the family's 1533-position model. The record is from RNAcentral.